CCCUCCCUGUGGCUUCUCCCUCUCCGUUUCUAAUCCCACUGCUCUGACCCUGCGGCGUCUCCUCAGGCUCGGCCCAGCUCCGUGCCCCGAGGUCAUGAGUCAUUCUGGGGAUGGCGGUUUGCGUCUGAAAGGAGCCGUGUGUAAUUUCGGAUUUCGUAGAAGAGAGUCAUCUCCCUUUUAGCUCCUCACCGAUUUCCUGCAUCGUGCCUCGGCGUGCAGCCGUCAGAGUUUUCCUGUCCCCAUCCCGUGCUGGAGUCACACAGGUUCACAUGCCCCAGAUCAAGAGGGAGCAGGGAGACAGCCAGUCCCAGCUGUCAGGUUUUUGAGGUGAACUAAACACUUAAAGGCUCAGCUGGUCCAGUGCUUCCAUCUAGAGAAAAGUCAUGGAAACAAAGAACACUCUUCAAUGGAAUCAAGGACACCAAUUAAAGGACUACUCACACAACUCCACAGAAGCCUGCAGUUGCUAAGGAGGGAUAGAAAGCCAGAGGCACCAGGCAUUUAAGGGAAGGAAAGGCUGAGUGUUUAGACAAAGAAAAAAAAUUCACUUCAGCUGAGCUGUGCUGGAAGACAACCCACAACAUUUUCUAGAAGUCUCCAAUUCCUCCUUCUCAGUCAGUAAAGGAUCAAGUUAAAUUUCCAUUCAUUAUACUUAUGCACAGGAAGAAGAAAUAUUCUUCUGAGCAAGUAAGAAACAUGAAAUCUUUUUUGAAUCUCUUUUCAGUCCUCUUUCCCAAAUUCUCUUCAUGCAGCAAUUUUUCUUGCUACAUCUCCAAUCUCCCCUGCUAUAAUCUCCACACCUACAAGCCCAGCAAUAAAAAUUCAUUUUUAUUUUGUUCAAAUUAUUUCAAUUUGGUUCAAAUUUUUCUAAAAAAACUGGUCUGUAUCAAAAAAAACCUGCUCUGUUCCCCCAGGCUUAGCUGGGUUUCAUCUGCUGACCAGUGCAAGGUAUUUUGAAAUGCCAGAUGGGAGAACCUGCAACUAGCACAGAACUUUAAGAACAUAAAAGAGAUCCAUUUUUUUUACAUUCUCUACAGGAGAUUUUGUUUACCCCCAGACUUGGCCAUCUCCACAAAAUGAGAGCAAGCAAUAGAAAAAAAAAAAAUCUUUCAACAUGUCUAGUCAAAACAGUUAUCCAGUAUCACUCAAUAGGAACAAAAGAUCUUACCAGUAGGUGAAAGCCACCAGAAGGUUCUAAAAAUUAAUUAUUGGAUAAUGAAAUAUCAAUUAAAGUUCUCUAAAUACUCAUUUUUGAACAGCAUUUUUUAAAUUGUUUGGGAUAUUUUUCCUGGCCAGUUUUUCCUCAGAAGAUCAAACCUUUACCAAGCAGGACCAUGAGCUGUGUACUGAGUACACCCAAAUCAUGCCAGUGCAACUGAUGUGCAACAUUUCCAUGUCUCAUUGUUUCACUUGAAAGUGAAUCUGAAUAUGUUUAUUUCUACAAGUUAAAUUUUGUUUCUGGAUAAUAUUAUCUAGAUACACAUUAUAUAUAUAUAUAUAUAUAUAUCUCCAACGGUUUAACACCUCAAUGGACUGAGGAAGGACAACUUCACCAUGAGAAAGUUUACCUGUCUCGUUUAUU
This is a long non-coding RNA of Passer domesticus (house sparrow), 1582 nucleotides long. RefSeq lists it as uncharacterized. The transcript has 3 exons. Lineage: Eukaryota; Metazoa; Chordata; Aves; Passeriformes; Passeridae. The record is from RefSeq and is a predicted model, not a curated record.